CCUGAAACCCCACCUCUUUAAGGAAUACCUAGGAUAGGAUAAAGUAAUCCUUCUAACCCCCCCCCUUAAAAGAUUUAGAUGGACUAUUGUAAAGUGGUUGUUCCACUGGAUAUCAUAAGGUGAAUGCACCAAUUUGUAAGUCGCUCUGGAUAAGAGCGUCUGCUAAAUGACUUAAAUGUAAAAUGUAAUGUAAAAUUAAAGUGAGUCCAAAAUGACACAAUACAUUAUUUCCCAUUCAUUUCUAUUGGGCACAAAAUAAUCUGAAACACAACCAAAACUAAUUUGCAGUCACAAGCUUGAUGUAAUCAUUGCAUGAAACAAAAUGCUAAACCUUUUAAUACUUUAAUACACAUAUAAGUGAAUUUGUCCCAAUACUUUUAGUUCCCUAAAAUGGGGGGGACUGUACAAAAAUGCUGUAAUUUCUAAACGGUUCAACUGAUAUGGAUGAUAAUACCCUCAAAAUAAAGGUGACAAUCUGCACUAACCAGAUAGUCAUUGUAUCAUUUGAAAUCCAAAGUGCUGGAGCACAGAGCCAAAACAAUAAAAUUGUCACUGUCCCAAUACUUUUGAGCUCACCGUAUAGGCUCAGUCCAAAUACUUUGAAAAUAAAAUCUUACAUGUCUGAAUUGAUGAAAACUAGUAUUAAACGUAUUUAAAGGGCCAUUAUGUACUAUUUUGUAGAGUGCAGCGCUUGCAAUGCCAGGGUUGUGUGUUUGGUUCCCUCAGGAAUCAGCCAGACAAAAACAUACGCUCUACUGUAUGUUGCUUUUGAUAAAAGCAUCUACUAAAUUAUAAUAUAAACUAAGCACUAAUACCAUCUCCAUGUCAUACCAUGGCAUUCAAACAUAUAACAAGGAGGAUGUUCCUUGUUAUGGAUGUAGAGGUAUGUUCAAUAGAACAAAUUCUAAAAGAAACUCAAACACCUUUCAACGUCAUACGAGACGUCAGGGAGACGUCAGAGAGUGAUACAACUGUUUAAAGAAACAUGCCAUCUUAUGAUAUGUCAUCUAUUGACAAACCAGACCAGUGUUUACUCAACCAUGAUCUCUUAGGGUGUGGCUAGUCACAGAACAGUGGAGUUAUUGGUGGACAGCAACACCCAAGACAAAAAUAAAUCAUCAGAAACAUGAAAUCACAGUUCAAAAGAAUGUUAAGUGUAAGAGUAAGUUGUACAAUUCACAUCUGAUAAAUAUAAGUUGUUAUGAUUGGGUCAAUGCAAAUUGUUAGUUGGGAUGUGUGCCAAAAAAAUACUGGUCAAAACACUGACACCCGAAACUACUUGCCAACAUGCUCUGACUGGGGAUUUUGCUCUCGGCAAGAUGACAAUAGAUUUUCUCUAAACUGAAUACACUUCUACCAGUACAGGUGUUAGUUCAGUUUACUGCAAGUAUCCGUCGUAUAAGCAGGAUGACGUUUUAUAAAAAUAACCCACUUCACAGAGGUGUAACAGCAUGCAUCUGCGCAAUUUUGAUAGUACAAUAGUAUAAAUAAAGGUUGUAAAUGCACCUGACUGGUUUUAGGGAAAAUCAUGUAUAUCC
This 1538-nucleotide long non-coding RNA is filed under the name Salmo salar (Atlantic salmon). Its description in RNAcentral is "lncRNA (ENSSSAG00000107463.1)". The stretch from base 123 to 176 matches the Rfam family "UnaL2 LINE 3' element". The record is from RNAcentral. Lineage: Eukaryota; Metazoa; Chordata; Actinopteri; Salmoniformes; Salmonidae.